UGGGGAAUUUUGGACAAUGGGGGCAACCCUGAUCCAGCAAUGCCCGCGUGUGUGAAGAAGGCCUUCGGGUUGUAAAGCACUUUUGUCCGGAAAGAAAUCCCUUGCCCUAAUACGGCGGGGGGAUGACGGUACCGGAAGAAUAAGCACCGGCUAACUACGUGCCAGCAGCCGCGGUAAUACGUAGGGUGCGAGCGUUAAUCGGAAUUACUGGGCGUAAAGCGUGCGCAGGCGGUUUUGUAAGACAGGCGUGAAAUCCCCGAGCUCAACUUGGGAAUGGCGCUUGUGACUGCAAGGCUAGAGUAUGUCAGAGGGGGGUAGAAUUCCACGUGUAGCAGUGAAAUGCGUAGAGAUGUGGAGGAAUACCGAUGGCGAAGGCAGCCCCCUGGGACGUCACUGACGCUCAUGCACGAAAGCGUGGGGAGCAAACAGGAUUAGAUACCCUGGUAGUCCACGCCCUAAACGAUGUCAACUAGUUGUUGGGGAUUCAUUUCUUCAGUAACGUAGCUAACGCGUGAAGUUGACCGCCUGGGGAGUACGGUCGCAAGAUUA
RNAcentral lists this ribosomal RNA (549 nucleotides) under uncultured bacterium. Its description in RNAcentral is "bacterial SSU rRNA". It matches the Rfam family "Bacterial small subunit ribosomal RNA", at positions 355 to 896 of the family's 1533-position model. The record is from RNAcentral.